Molecule: ribosomal RNA, 333 nt
Filed under: uncultured bacterium
Lineage: Bacteria
Description: bacterial SSU rRNA
Rfam family: Bacterial small subunit ribosomal RNA
Source: RNAcentral
AGAGUUUGAUUCUGGCUCAGGAUGAACGCUGGCGGCGUGCCUAACACAUGCAAGUCGAACGGAGUUUACAUGAAACCUAGUGAUUGUAAACUUAGUGGCGGACGGGUGAGUAACGCGUGGGUAACCUGCCCUGUACUGGGGGAUAACACUUAGAAAUAGGUGCUAAUACCGCAUAAGCGCACAGUGCCGCAUGGCACAGUGUGAAAAACUCCGGUGGUACAGGAUGGACCCGCGUCUGAUUAGAUAGUUGGUGAGGUAACGGCCCACCAAGUCAACGAUCAGUAGCCGGCCUGAGAGGGUGAACGGCCACAUUGGGACUGAGACACGGCCCAA